Molecule: transfer RNA, 63 nt
Filed under: Aelia fieberi
Lineage: Eukaryota; Metazoa; Arthropoda; Insecta; Hemiptera; Pentatomidae
Description: tRNA-Arg
Source: RNAcentral
AGAUAAUGAAGUAAAAAAUUACAAUUAGUUUCGACCUAAUAUUAGGAUACAUUCCCUUAUCUA